CUUGACCCUCAACACGGAGCUUUGUCUCGUUCUUGGGGGGAUGUAUUGUAUGCUGUUCCAGUUCGACUGCUAGGAGUGUAAACCUAUUCGUAUGGUUUUUCCUAUUCGGCUGUUUACGGCAUUCAUAUAGUUUCCUGUUCAGCGGAUUGGUGUUCUGCAGUAGCUGUGCCUGUGUCUCUGGAAGGGAAGAUCUACUAAACGGCAGUUUAACCCUUUUAUGCUGAGGGUGCCG
This 232-nucleotide long non-coding RNA is filed under the name Pelobates cultripes (western spadefoot toad). Lineage: Eukaryota; Metazoa; Chordata; Amphibia; Anura; Pelobatidae. The record is from RNAcentral.